GACGAACGCUGGCGGCGUGCUUAACACAUGCAAGUCGAACGGUGAAGCGCCUUCCUUUUUGGUGGGUGUGGAUGAGUGGCGAACGGGUGAGUAACACGUGAGUAACCUGCCCCCUUCUUCUGGAUAACCGCAUGAAAGUGUGGCUAAUACGGGAUAUUCUGGGUCUGUCGCAUGAUGGGUCUGGGAAAGAUAUUGUUUCGGUGGGGGAUGGGCUCGCGGCCUAUCAGCUUGUUGGUGGGGUGAUGGCCUACCAAGGCGGUGACGGGUAGCCGGCCUGAGAGGGUGGACGGUCACACUGGGACUGAGACACGGCCCAGACUCCCACGGGAGGCAGCAGUGGGGAAUAUUGCACAAUGGGCGCAAGCCUGAUGCAGCGACGCCGCGUGAGGGAUGGAGGCCUUCGGGUUGUGAACCUCUUUCGCCAGUGAAGCAGGCCUGCCUCGUUUGUGGGUGGGUUGACGGUAGCUGGAUAGGAAGCGCCGGCUAACUACGUG
RNAcentral lists this ribosomal RNA (494 nucleotides) under uncultured bacterium. Its description in RNAcentral is "partial 16S ribosomal RNA". It matches the Rfam family "Bacterial small subunit ribosomal RNA", at positions 28 to 507 of the family's 1533-position model. The record is from RNAcentral.